AUUGAACGCUGGCGGCAUGCCUAACACAUGCAAGUCGAACGAGUGGCGGACGGGUGAGUAAUGUCUGGGAAACUGCCUGAUGGCGGGGGAUAACUACUGGAAACGGUAGCUAAUACCGCAUACCAUCGGAUGUGCCCAGAUGGGAUUAGCUAGUUGGUGGGGUAAAGGCUCACCUAGGCGACGAUCCCUAGCUGGUCUGAGAGGAUGACCAGCCACACUGGAACUGAGACACGGUCCAGACUCCUACGGGAGGCAGCAGUGGGGAAUAUUGCACAAUGGGCGCAAGCCUGAUGCAGCCAUGCCGCGUGUAUGAAGAAGGCCUUCGGGUUGUAAAGUACUUUUAGCAGGGAGGCGUUACCCGCAGAAGAAGCACCGGCUAACUACGUGCCAGCAGCCGCGGUAAUAC
RNAcentral lists this ribosomal RNA (406 nucleotides) under uncultured bacterium. RNAcentral describes it as "partial 16S ribosomal RNA". It matches the Rfam family "Bacterial small subunit ribosomal RNA", at positions 30 to 526 of the family's 1533-position model. The record is from RNAcentral.